UAGAAGUGGCAGAGACAGGAACAGAGCCAAGGCAGCGGAGGCGGGAGGCAGGAGGGAAACCAGCCAGGCGGCAGAGCUGUA
Molecule: small RNA, 81 nt
Filed under: Myotis lucifugus (little brown bat)
Lineage: Eukaryota; Metazoa; Chordata; Mammalia; Chiroptera; Vespertilionidae
Description: GRIK4 3 prime UTR element (ENSMLUG00000022112.2)
Source: RNAcentral